UAGGCGGACGGGUGAGUAAUGUCUGGGAAACUGCCCGAUGAGGGGGAGUAACUACUGGAAACGGUAGCUAAUACCGCAUAACGUCGCAAGACCAAAGAGGGGGACCUUAGGGCCUCUUGCCAUCGGAUGUGCCCAGAUGGGAUUAGCUAGUAGGUGGGGUAACGGCUCACCUAGGCGACGAUCCCUAGCUGGUCUGAGAGGAUGACCAGCCACACUGGAACUGAGACACGGUCCAG
RNAcentral lists this ribosomal RNA (236 nucleotides) under uncultured bacterium. RNAcentral's name for it is "partial 16S ribosomal RNA". It matches the Rfam family "Bacterial small subunit ribosomal RNA", at positions 95 to 334 of the family's 1533-position model. The record is from RNAcentral.